ACGGGUGAGUAACACGUAUCCAACCUGCCGUCUACUCUUGGCCAGCCUUCUGAAAGGAAGAUUAAUCCAGGAUGGCAUCAUGAGUUCACAUGUCCGCAUGAUUAAAGGUAUUUUCCGGUAGACGAUGGGGAUGCGUUCCAUUAGAUAGUAGGCGGGGUAACGGCCCACCUAGCCAACGAUGGAUAGGGGUUCUGAGAGGAAGGUCCCCCACAUUGGAACUGAGACACGGUCCAA
Molecule: ribosomal RNA, 234 nt
Filed under: uncultured bacterium
Lineage: Bacteria
Description: partial 16S ribosomal RNA
Rfam family: Bacterial small subunit ribosomal RNA
Source: RNAcentral